Molecule: ribosomal RNA, 1112 nt
Filed under: Klebsiella pneumoniae
Lineage: Bacteria; Pseudomonadati; Pseudomonadota; Gammaproteobacteria; Enterobacterales; Enterobacteriaceae
Description: bacterial LSU rRNA
Rfam family: Bacterial large subunit ribosomal RNA
Source: RNAcentral
GCCGGCGAUGUCCGAAUGGGGAAACCCAGUGUGAUUCGUCACACUAUCGUUAACUGAAUACAUAGGUUAACGAGGCGAACCGGGGGAACUGAAACAUCUAAGUACCCCGAGGAAAAGAAAUCAACCGAGAUUCCCCCAGUAGCGGCGAGCGAACGGGGAGCAGCCCAGAGUCUGAAUCAGCUUGUGUGUUAGUGGAACGGUCUGGAAAGUCCGACGGUACAGGGUGAUAGUCCCGUACACCAAAAUGCACAGGCUGUGAACUCGAAGAGUAGGGCGGGACACGUGGUAUCCUGUCUGAAUAUGGGGGGACCAUCCUCCAAGGCUAAAUACUCCUGACUGACCGAUAGUGAACCAGUACCGUGAGGGAAAGGCGAAAAGAACCCCGGCGAGGGGAGUGAAAAAGAACCUGAAACCGUGUACGUACAAGCAGUGGGAGCACCUUCGGGUGUGACUGCGUACCUUUUGUAUAAUGGGUCAGCGACUUAUAUUCUGUAGCAAGGUUAACCGUAUAGGGGAGCCGCAGGGAAACCGAGUCUUAACUGGGCGUUAAGUUGCAGGGUAUAGACCCGAAACCCGGUGAUCUAGCCAUGGGCAGGUUGAAGGUUGGGUAACACUAACUGGAGGACCGAACCGACUAAUGUUGAAAAAUUAGCGGAUGACUUGUGGCUGGGGGUGAAAGGCCAAUCAAACCGGGAGAUAGCUGGUUCUCCCCGAAAGCUAUUUAGGUAGCGCCUCGUGAAUUCAUCUUCGGGGGUAGAGCACUGUUUCGGCUAGGGGGUCAUCCCGACUUACCAACCCGAUGCAAACUACGAAUACCGAAGAAUGUUAUCACGGGAGACACACGGCGGGUGCUAACGUCCGUCGUGAAGAGGGAAACAACCCAGACCGCCAGCUAAGGUCCCAAAGUCAUGGUUAAGUGGGAAACGAUGUGGGAAGGCACAGACAGCCAGGAUGUUGGCUUAGAAGCAGCCAUCAUUUAAAGAAAGCGUAAUAGCUCACUGGUCGAGUCGGCCUGCGCGGAAGAUGUAACGGGGCUAAACCAUGCACCGAAGCUGCGGCAGCGACACUAUGUGUUGUUGGGUAGGGGAGCGUUCUGUAAGCCUGCGAAGGUG